RNAcentral lists this transfer RNA (74 nucleotides) under Corynebacterium pseudotuberculosis 316. Its description in RNAcentral is "tRNA-Arg (CCG) (tRNA-Arg-CCG-1-1)". It matches the Rfam family "tRNA". From Rfam's summary of the family: Transfer RNA (tRNA) molecules are approximately 80 nucleotides in length. Their secondary structure includes four short double-helical elements and three loops (D, anti-codon, and T loops). Further hydrogen bonds mediate the characteristic L-shaped molecular structure. tRNAs have two regions of fundamental functional importance: the anti-codon, which is responsible for specific mRNA codon recognition, and the 3' end, to which the tRNAs corresponding amino acid is attached (by aminoacyl-tRNA synthetases). tRNAs cope with the degeneracy of the genetic code in two manners: having more than one tRNA (with a specific anti-codon) for a particular amino acid; and 'wobble' base-pairing, i.e. permitting non-standard base-pairing at the 3rd anti-codon position. The record is from RNAcentral. Lineage: Bacteria; Bacillati; Actinomycetota; Actinomycetes; Mycobacteriales; Corynebacteriaceae.
GUCUCCGUAGCUCAGUGGAUAGAGCAUUGGUUUCCGGUACCAAAGGUCGCAGGGUUCGAAUCCUGUCGGGGACA